AUGUCGUCGUCCUACCUAUGCUCGGCCUGCGGCUCCCGCACCCACCGCCGGAACCACUGCGCCGCCUCGCCGUGCUCACGCUGCGGGGGCAACGGUCACUUCGAGGCCCUCUGCACCACCCCCGCCGGCUUCGACCCCGCCGGCGCAGCUCGCUGCGGCGUCUGCAGCGGCGCCGGCCACGCGGACGAGGACUGCGCCACCACAAAGACCGCCGACAUCCGGUGCGAGACCUGCGGCAAGCUGGGGCACAGGCCCAGGGACUGCCCCACGCGCACCGGCCCAGGGACGUUGCGCGUUGCGCGUUCUGUUUAG
This 312-nucleotide ribosomal RNA is filed under the name Triticum aestivum (bread wheat). RNAcentral describes it as "partial small subunit ribosomal RNA". The record is from RNAcentral. Lineage: Eukaryota; Viridiplantae; Streptophyta; Magnoliopsida; Poales; Poaceae.